This 226-nucleotide ribosomal RNA is filed under the name uncultured bacterium. Its description in RNAcentral is "partial 16S ribosomal RNA". The record is from RNAcentral.
UAUUAUAGUUUGAUCAUGGCUCAGAAAUCAACGCUGGCGGCGUGCCUAACACAUGCGAGUCGAACGACGAAAGUCCGCAAGGCACUGACGCUACAGUGGCGAACGGGCUGAGAUAACACGUGACUACCGUACCACUCGNAGUGAGNGGAAUAACCCCGAGGCAAACCAGGCGGACCUAACGUACCCGCAUAACUCAUCGCCAGAGAAGCAAAAACUGCGCAAACAG